CAGUAGCCGCGGUAAUACGUAGGGUGCGAGCGUUAAUCGGAAUUACUGGGCGUAAAGCGUGCGCAGGCGGUUAUAUAAGACAGAUGUGAAAUCCCCGGGCUCAACCUGGGACCUGCAUUUGUGACUGUAUAGCUAGAGUACGGUAGAGGGGGAUGGAAUUCCGCGUGUAGCAGUGAAAUGCGUAGAUAUGCGGAGGAACACCGAUGGCGAAGGCAAUCCCCCGGACCUGUACUGACGCUCAUGCACGAAAGCGUGGGGAGCAAACAGGAUUAGAGACCCCCGUAGUCCCUGUCUCUUAUAA
Molecule: ribosomal RNA, 301 nt
Filed under: uncultured bacterium
Lineage: Bacteria
Description: partial 16S ribosomal RNA
Rfam family: Bacterial small subunit ribosomal RNA
Source: RNAcentral